This is a long non-coding RNA of Etheostoma cragini (Arkansas darter), 162 nucleotides long. RefSeq lists it as uncharacterized. The record is from RefSeq and is a predicted model, not a curated record. The transcript is spliced from 3 exons. Lineage: Eukaryota; Metazoa; Chordata; Actinopteri; Perciformes; Percidae.
UGAAAUCAAUGUCUGACAACAGUGGUUCCCAAACGUUUUCACGUCAAGGACCCCAAAACUGACACAAAUUAGACCGCAGACCCCCAUUUAACCAGAUGUUGUCCCAGGGUCCCGCAUCUGAAAGGACUUUAGCCUUUAGAUGUUUUACUACAGAACGUGUAU